AGUGAACGCUGGCGGUAGGCCUAACACAUGCAAGUCGAACGGCAGCACAGUAAGAGCUUGCUCUUACGGGUGGCGAGUGGCGGACGGGUGAGGAAUACAUCGGAAUCUACUUUUUCGUGGGGGAUAACGUAGGGAAACUUACGCUAAUACCGCAUACGACCUACGGGUGAAAGCAGGGGAUCUUCGGACCUUGCGCGAUUGAAUGAGCCGAUGUCGGAUUAGUUAGUUGGCGGGGUAAAGGCCCACCAAGGCGGCGAUCCGUAGCUGGUCUGAGAGGAUGAACAGCCACACUGGAAGUGAGACACGGUCCAGACUCCUACGGGAGGCAGCAGUGGGGAAUAUUGGACGAUGGGCGCAAGCCUGAUCCAGCCAUACCGCGUGGGUGAAGAAGGCCUUCGGGUUGUAAAGCCCUUUUGUUGGGAAAGAAAAGCAGCAGGUUAAUACCCCGCUGUUCUGACGGUACCCAAAGAAUAAGCACCGGCUAACUUCGUG
RNAcentral lists this ribosomal RNA (492 nucleotides) under uncultured bacterium. RNAcentral describes it as "partial 16S ribosomal RNA". It matches the Rfam family "Bacterial small subunit ribosomal RNA", at positions 29 to 507 of the family's 1533-position model. The record is from RNAcentral.